This 466-nucleotide ribosomal RNA is filed under the name uncultured bacterium. RNAcentral describes it as "partial 16S ribosomal RNA". It matches the Rfam family "Bacterial small subunit ribosomal RNA", at positions 28 to 507 of the family's 1533-position model. The record is from RNAcentral.
GACGAACGCUGGCGGCGUGCUUAACACAUGCAAGUCGAACGAUGAUCAGGAGCUUGCUCCUGUGAUUAGUGGCGAACGGGUGAGUAACACGUGAGUAACCUGCCCCUGGCUCUGGAUAAGCGUUGGAAACGACGUCUAGUACUGGAUAUGAUCACUGGCCGCAUGGUCUGGGGGUGGAAAGAUUUUUUGGUUGGGGAUGGACUCGCGGCCUAUCAGCUUGUUGGUGAGGUAAUGGCUCACCAAGGCGACGACGGGUAGCCGGCCUGAGAGGGUGACCGGCCACACUGGGACUGAGACACGGCCCAGACUCCUACGGGAGGCAGCAGUGGGGAAUAUUGCACAAUGGGCGAAAGCCUGAUGCAGCAACGCCGCGUGAGGGAUGACGGCCUUCGGGUUGUAAACCUCUUUUAGUAGGGAAGAAGCGAAAGUGACGGUACCUGCAGAAAAAGCACCGGCUAACUACGUG